RNAcentral lists this unclassified non-coding RNA (233 nucleotides) under Hevea brasiliensis (rubber tree). Lineage: Eukaryota; Viridiplantae; Streptophyta; Magnoliopsida; Malpighiales; Euphorbiaceae. The record is from RNAcentral.
AGAUCAUAUAAGAAUUCUGGGUCCUAAAAUGUCUGCCUAGGAGUUGUUACUAGACUCCAUUGAAUCCAAGUCCUGGAAACUCUUCAAAUACCAACUGCUAGCUACGAAAAUCUUUCUUAAUGCAAGCAUCCCAGAAUCGGCAGGCUUCAUCUGUGAUCCAUGAGAUGUAUCAACAGUCUGUUCAAGAGAUGGAUCCUUACUAUUUAUCUCAUUUUCACGUAUUGGGAAACCAU